Molecule: ribosomal RNA, 459 nt
Filed under: uncultured bacterium
Lineage: Bacteria
Description: bacterial SSU rRNA
Rfam family: Bacterial small subunit ribosomal RNA
Source: RNAcentral
AUUGAACGCUGGCGGCAUGCCUUACACAUGCAAGUCGAACGGUAACAGGGAGCUUGCUCCGCUGACGAGUGGCGAACGGGUGAGUAAUAUAUCGGAACGUACCAUUGAGUGGGGGAUAACGUAGCGAAAGUUGCGCUAAUACCGCAUAUUCUCUCCGGAGGAAAGCAGGGGACCGCAAGGCCUUGCGCUCAUUGAGCGGCCGAUAUCAGAUUAGCUAGUUGGAGAGGUAACGGCUCACCAAGCCAGCGAUCAGUAGCCGGACUGAGAGGUCGAACGGCCACAUUGGGACUGAGACACGGCCCAGACUCCUACGGGAGGCAGCAGUUGGGAAUAUUGCACAAUGGGGGGAAACCCUGAUGCAGCGACGCCGCGUGAGGGAAGAAGGUUUUCGGAUUGUAAACCUCUGUCUUUAGGGACGAUAAUGACGGUACCUAAGAGGAAGCCAUGGCUAACUACGUG